UUUGGUCUUUUGAUUAUCAGUAACCCAAUUUUUCAUCCUAAAUUAUAGCUUUGACCGAAAUACUAUUUUUUGAUUAAACAAUGGGCUGGAACUGAAUGCUUCUGGACGAGAAAGGGAAGACACAUGAGAAAUAAAGAUUCAGUUAGAAGUGGAUGCAAAAUUUAACAGAAGGAUAUUUUUGGUUAAAUUUGAAAAACUUAAAAGAUGCUUUCUGUUAAG
Molecule: long non-coding RNA, 219 nt
Filed under: Nicotiana benthamiana
Lineage: Eukaryota; Viridiplantae; Streptophyta; Magnoliopsida; Solanales; Solanaceae
Description: long non-coding RNA (NBEN_LNC016114)
Source: RNAcentral